This 790-nucleotide ribosomal RNA is filed under the name uncultured beta proteobacterium. RNAcentral's name for it is "bacterial SSU rRNA". It matches the Rfam family "Bacterial small subunit ribosomal RNA", at positions 58 to 845 of the family's 1533-position model. The record is from RNAcentral. Lineage: Bacteria; Pseudomonadati; Pseudomonadota; Betaproteobacteria.
CAAGUCGAACGCGAAAAGGGGGCAACCCCUGAGUAGAGUGGCGAACGGGUGAGUAAUACAUCGGAACGUGUCCAGUAGCGGGGGAUAACCUCUCGAAAGAGAGGCUAAUACCGCAUACGACCUACGGGUGAAAGAGGGGGAUCGUAAGACCUCUCACUAUUGGAGCGGCCGAUGUCGGAUUAGCUAGUUGGUGGGGUAAAAGCCUACCAAGGCGACGAUCCGUAGCUGGUCUGAGAGGACGACCAGCCACACUGGAACUGAGACACGGUCCAGACUCCUACGGGAGGCAGCAGUGGGGAAUUUUGGACAAUGGGCGAAAGCCUGAUCCAGCCAUGCCGCGUGAGUGAAGAAGGCCUUCGGGUUGUAAAGCUCUUUCGGCGGGGACGAAAAGGUGCGCGAUAACACCGCGCAUCCAUGACGGUACCCGCAGAAGAAGCACCGGCUAACUACGUGCCAGCAGCCGCGGUAAUACGUAGGGUGCAGGCGUUAAUCGGAAUUACUGGGCGUAAAGCGUGCGCAGGCGGUCUGCUAAGACAGGUGUGAAAUCCCCGGGCUUAACCUGGGAACUGCGCUUGUUACUGGCAGGCUUGAGUGUGGCAGAGGGGGGUGGAAUUCCACGUGUAGCAGUGAAAUGCGUAGAGAUGUGGAGGAACACCGAUGGCGAAGGCAGCCCCCUGGGCUAACACUGACGCUCAUGCACGAAAGCGUGGGGAGCAAACAGGAUUAGAUACCCUGGUAGUCCACGCCCUAAACUAUGUCAACUGGUUGUCGGGGAAGCAAUUCCUUGGUA